This 459-nucleotide ribosomal RNA is filed under the name uncultured bacterium. RNAcentral describes it as "partial 16S ribosomal RNA". It matches the Rfam family "Bacterial small subunit ribosomal RNA", at positions 338 to 795 of the family's 1533-position model. The record is from RNAcentral.
CCUACGGGUGGCAGCAGUGAGGAAUAUUGGUCAAUGGGCGGGAGCCUGAACCAGCCAAGUCGCGUGAGGGAAGACGGUCCUAUGGAUUGUAAACCUCUUUUGUCGGGGAACAAAGGCGCCCACGGGUGGCCGGAUGAGGGUACCCGAAGAAAAAGCAUCGGCUAACUCCGUGCCAGCCGCCGCGGUAAUACGGAGGAUGCGAGCGUUAUCCGGAUUUAUUGGGUUUAAAGGGUGCGCAGGCGGACUGUUAAGUCAGCGGUAAAAAGGCGGGGCUCAACCCCGUACAGCCGUUGAAACUGGCAGUCUGGAGUGGGCGAGAAGGAUGCGGAAUGCGGGGUGUAGCGGUGAAAUGCAUAGAUAUCACGCAGAACUCCGAUUGCGAAGGCAGCAUACCGGCGCCCGACUGACGCUGAGGCACGAAAGCGUGGGUAUCGAACAGGAUUAGAUACCCUUGUAGUC